This 439-nucleotide ribosomal RNA is filed under the name uncultured bacterium. Its description in RNAcentral is "partial 16S ribosomal RNA". It matches the Rfam family "Bacterial small subunit ribosomal RNA", at positions 338 to 795 of the family's 1533-position model. The record is from RNAcentral.
CCUACGGGGAGCAGCAGUGGGGAAUAUUGGACAAUGGGGGGAACCCUGAUCCAGCGACGCCGCGUGAGUGAAGACGUAUUUCGGUAUGUAAAGCUCUAUCAGCAGGGAAGUAAAUGACGGUACCUGACUAAGAAGCCCCGGCUAACUACGUGCCAGCAGCCGCGGUAAUACGUGGGGGGCAAGCGUUAUCCGGAUUUACUGGGUGUAAAGGGAGCGUAGACGGUGCAGCAAGGCGGAUGUGAAAGGUCGGGGCCCAACCCCGGGACUGCAUUGGAACUGUUGAACUGGAGUGCAGGAGAGGUAAGCGGAAUUCGUGGUGUAGCGGUGAAAUGCGUAGAUAUUAGGAAGAACCCCGAUUGCGAAGGCAGCUUACUAGACUGUGACUGACAUUGAUGCUCGAAAGUGUGGGUAUCAAACAGGAUUAGAUACCCCAGUAGUC